AUUAUGGAGAGUUUGAUCCUGGCUCAGGACGAACGCUGGCGGCGUGCCUAAUACAUGCAAGUCGAGCGGAGCACUUCGGUGUUUAGCGGCGGACGGGUGAGUAACACGUAGGCAACCUGCCUAUAAGACUGGGAUAACUAU
RNAcentral lists this ribosomal RNA (141 nucleotides) under Paenibacillus anseongensis. RNAcentral's name for it is "partial 16S ribosomal RNA". It matches the Rfam family "Bacterial small subunit ribosomal RNA", at positions 1 to 150 of the family's 1533-position model. The record is from RNAcentral. Lineage: Bacteria; Bacillati; Bacillota; Bacilli; Caryophanales; Paenibacillaceae.